UGGGGGAUAUUGCACAAUGGGCGCAAGCCUGAUGCAGCGACGCCGCGUGGGGGAUUAAGGCCUUCGGGUUGUAAACUUCUUUUGCUCUGAACAAGGCGCACUUUGGGGUGUGUUGAGUGUAGGGGUUGAUUAGCGCCGGCUAACUACGUGCCAGCAGCCGCGGUAAUACGUAGGGCGCGAGCGUUGUCCGGCAUUAUUGGGCGUAAAGGUCUUGUAGGUGGCUGGUUGCGUCUGUCUUGAAAGCUCAUGGCUUAACUGUGGGUUUGCGGUGGGUCAGGGCUGGCUUGAGUGUCGUAGGGGAGGCUGGAAUUCCGGGUGUAGCGGUGGAAUGCGCAGAUAGCAGGAGGAAUAACGGUGGAGAAGGCGGGUCUCUGGGAUGUUACUGACACUGAGGAGCGAAAGCAUGGGGAGCGAACAGG
This 419-nucleotide ribosomal RNA is filed under the name bacterium. RNAcentral's name for it is "partial 16S ribosomal RNA". It matches the Rfam family "Bacterial small subunit ribosomal RNA", at positions 355 to 776 of the family's 1533-position model. The record is from RNAcentral.